UCUGAUUUUUUUCCACCACAAUGAACCUUUAGGGGCUCCGUAACAAUUUGAUUGAUGUCUUUUGGACCAAUAGUUUUUGAGAAAAGUGGGGGAAAGUACCGUCUCCGCAGGUGUACAGAAGAUGAAAAGCGUUAACGCUGUUUCGUACAGGCUAAUGAUGUUCCGUACAGAGCGCAUACUUUGAUUUCACGACGAAAAUGGACAUUUAACGGAUCGACUUUGAGCUAUUUAUUUAUUUUAACUGAAGAAAACAUCAUUUCAAUGAAUAAGAAAGGUAAGUACUUUUUUAUUUGUUUAAAAUUUAAGUUUUUUGCUGAUGUAAUAAGCUAGAGGACUAUGCGAGCUAGGCCUGAUUGUGUCGUGAUAUUGAUUAUGGCAUGUGGGUUAAGCAUGAACCAUUCUGAAGACAAAGAAGGGCAAACAGUUUGAACUGAUUCAAAAUAUUUAAUGAUUAACCAAUGUGAAAACUUCAAAACAUAAAUGAUCAGGAUACGUGCGUUCACAACUAUUUGCAUUUAACACUAAACUGAUUAAAAAAAUACCGUAACUAGAAAUUAACAGUUGGCACUUCCUUCACUUCUGCGCACUCCAGGUGGAACCACAAAUGGCACACAAAUGGAACCACAAUGGCCUCAUCUACGGAGCCAGGUGGGACCACUCUACGGCAGAGAGCGCAGUGUUCUCCAUUUUCAGUAGGAGGAGGUCAAAGUAUUCGUCGCUGGUGAUGACACGGGCUGGCAACGGAAUGCGAAGACUCAACUUUUUCUUCCUCUCCAGGGCUGGACUCAUGAGGACGUUAGCCAGACUCUCUGGUAUUACACCUGCUGCCACCAGGUAAUUUUUGUGAGCCACUUUAUUAAUGUUACAGGUGGGGCAAGGUGACUGAUGUGUCAGUAGGUGACUUGAUGGAUGGUGUGGUGGGAGCGAUAGAUAGUGUGGCUGACGGAGUGGUGGCAGGGCUGGAUGGUGUGGUGUCACUUUCAUCUACAAAUGGGAGCACUCUCACCACCUAAGAAAAUAAAACGUAUGUAAAACUCA
Long non-coding RNA from Cyprinus carpio (common carp), 1038 nucleotides. The record is from Ensembl. NCBI's taxonomy places the organism in Eukaryota, Metazoa, Chordata, Actinopteri, Cypriniformes, Cyprinidae.